GGGAGUAGCUCAGUGGUAGAGCAUCAGCUUCCCAAGCUGAGGGUCGCGGGUUCGAGCCCCGUUUCCC
RNAcentral lists this transfer RNA (67 nucleotides) under Alistipes putredinis. It matches the Rfam family "tRNA". From Rfam's summary of the family: Transfer RNA (tRNA) molecules are approximately 80 nucleotides in length. The record is from RNAcentral. Lineage: Bacteria; Pseudomonadati; Bacteroidota; Bacteroidia; Bacteroidales; Rikenellaceae.